AAGAAAAAUCUUUCGAGCUAGGGCAUGCUCUUACAGCUAGGAUAUGUGAUUUUCUUGAUGAAAGAAAGACAAAUUGCUUCGGGCAGUUUUCAGAACAAAGUGGAUUGGUUGCAGUAACGAAUUUUCAGAUGCAAGAGAUACAAACUUGACUCAGAGACAGGGUCUUGUUGGAGGAUGCGGAGGCAUUUAAAAAUUCAAUGCAAGAGAAGGCACGGUAUACAGGAAGGAAGCAAAACCAAAAUCUUGUGAUUACCGUUUCUGCAGCACGCUGGACACUUGGCGAUUCAAUAGGUGGCAUUUAUAGAGCAGUUCACAUGCCUGGUCUUUGUUAUAACAUUUUGCAUACAUGCGAGGGUGCGAGGGAGGUUAUAGAUUGAAGGAUUUUGUUUACUAUGAGCUGUGCUCAUUUUCGUCCAAUAGCUGUACAAAUUGUCCCAAGGAUUUAUUGGUGUUGGCUAGAAAAUCAGAGAGUUUCAGAUGCCCAGAUCAUUCAUCUCAUGGCACGAAGAAGUCUUAGGCUGAUCUGUUGACAACUUCUUUCAGAUGCUUUUGAUGGUUUUGAGGCUGAUGUUGAUGGAAAUGGUUGUGUUCCCUUUGAUAAACCCAGCAGCUCUAAGAAGGUUUGUAAAAGCAAGGGAUCAGUGUCUAGUGUAGCUCGUGUCCUCUAUUUUGAUGGAUGCCUAGAUUCUGGGGAUGAAAACCACCGCUUGGUUUCCAAUGGUGGCACCGUAUGUAGUUUGGCAAAUAAAGGCCUACAUGAUCUUUCACAAGCUCUGAUGUGGGCUGAAGAAACUCCAAUGAAACAUCAGUACAAAAUCCCACUUGCACCCUCACUUGAAAUUUUGAAUCAAGAAAAUUUAGCGCCAACAAAGACUAGAUCAAAGUUGACUGUUCGAGGCCUGUUGAAGCAUAACUGCACUGCAGCAAAUAAUCACUACUUCAAGGAUGUCUUUUUCAAGACUUUCUUACGUUACAAGAACUUAUAAGAAACAAUAUUAUAAACACAACUUGAAUCGAACAGCAUAUAUGUAGGUGAGUAGACAACAAGAAUACCUAUAGUUUACAAUGGAGGCAAGAGACAAUCUUGCAUUUUGUAUUAUUUGUAAGAGAAUUCGUCUUUCUUGCUCACAAAUAUUCUGGACUAAUUCAUGAAUGUUCUCGCCUCCAUAUUUAUUAAGUACAUGUGGUUUCGUCAUGUUGGCGACGUCUAUCAUAAUGACAUCAAUGUCGGGGACGUCUUAAACUUAUCGGACAGUUUACUGAAAAGCUUCACAUAAGCCUUAGGUUUAUUACAUAGAAUACCCAGCUUCCUCACAUGCUGUUAAAUUUUGUUAUAUUAUCUUCCCAUGAUUUGAAAUAUUGGCUAUUGGAUUCUGUUUAUAUAUUUGUGGAAACUGCUUCCAGCUCUACAUAUUCUAUGUAACUUCAGAUUGUUGGCCUUAUUUUCUCCAAAAAGCGGUUGCUUGCUAGCAGCAAACAGGGAAUCCUGUAUGCAAUGCUCUAUUUGGAUCAUAUGAUAUUUUCUUUUCGAAGUGAUUCCUUGAAGGGCGUAUUCAUAUUAACAACUAGGUUUUUCGAGCGAGAUGUAAAAACUACUAUUUGUGCACAUCUAUAAAUGUCCCACCUUUCCUUAGCGCAUGAGGAUGUAGUUUUUUUAACAAAUAUGGCAACUUGAGACUUAUCGACAAUCAAUUUUAUGUUCAUGUGUACAACUAGGAUCUUACGGGAGUACCAUACAAGCAUCUCAAAUAUUUGACUGACAAAG
Molecule: long non-coding RNA, 1765 nt
Organism: Cryptomeria japonica (Japanese cedar)
Lineage: Eukaryota; Viridiplantae; Streptophyta; Pinopsida; Cupressales; Cupressaceae
Exons: 3
Source: RefSeq, a predicted model, not a curated record